RNAcentral lists this small RNA (576 nucleotides) under Aspergillus calidoustus. Its description in RNAcentral is "eukaryotic LSU rRNA". The stretch from base 188 to 341 matches the Rfam family "5.8S ribosomal RNA". The record is from RNAcentral. Lineage: Eukaryota; Fungi; Ascomycota; Eurotiomycetes; Eurotiales; Aspergillaceae.
UCCGUAGGUGAACCUGCGGAAGGAUCAUUACCGAGUGCAGGUCUGCCCCCGGGCAGGCCUAACCUCCCACCCGUGAAUACCUGACCAACGUUGCUUCGGCGGUGCGCCCCCCCCGGGGGUAGCCGCCGGAGACCACACCGAACCUCCUGUCUUUAGUGUUGUCUGAGCUUGAUAGCAAACCUAUUAAAACUUUCAACAAUGGAUCUCUUGGUUCCGGCAUCGAUGAAGAACGCAGCGAACUGCGAUAAGUAAUGUGAAUUGCAGAAUUCAGUGAAUCAUCGAGUCUUUGAACGCACAUUGCGCCCCCUGGCAUUCCGGGGGGCAUGCCUGUCCGAGCGUCAUUGCUGCCCUUCAAGCCCGGCUUGUGUGUUGGGUCGUCGUCCCCCCCGGGGGACGGGCCCGAAAGGCAGCGGCGGCACCGCGUCCGGUCCUCGAGCGUAUGGGGCUUUGUCACCCGCUCGAUUAGGGCCGGCCGGGCGCCAGCCGGCGUCUCCAACCUUCUAUUUUACCAGGUUGACCUCGGAUCAGGUAGGGAUACCCGCUGAACUUAAGCAUAUCAAUAAGCGGAGGAAAAGA